RNAcentral lists this ribosomal RNA (466 nucleotides) under uncultured bacterium. Its description in RNAcentral is "partial 16S ribosomal RNA". It matches the Rfam family "Bacterial small subunit ribosomal RNA", at positions 28 to 507 of the family's 1533-position model. The record is from RNAcentral.
GACGAACGCUGGCGGUGUGCUUAACACAUGCAAGUCGAACGGUAAGGCCCUUUCGGGGGUACACGAGUGGCGAACGGGUGAGUAACACGUGAGUAACCUGCCCUCAUCUCUGGGAUAACAGUCGGAAACGGUUGCUAAUACUGGAUAUGAGCUUGCAAGGCAUCUUGUGGGUUGGAAAGAUUUUUUUGGUUGGGGAUGGACUCGCGGCCUAUCAGCUUGUUGGCGAGGUAGUGGCUCACCAAGGCUUCGACGGGUAGCCGGCCUGAGAGGGCGACCGGCCACAUUGGGACUGAGAUACGGCCCAAACUCCUACGGGAGGCAGCAGUGGGGAAUAUUGCACAAUGGACGGAAGUCUGAUGCAGCAACGCCGCGUGCGGGAUGACGGCCUUCGGGUUGUAAACCGCUUUCAAUUGUGACGAAGCUUUUUGUGACGGUAGCAGUAGAAGAAGCACCGGCUAACUACGUG